Molecule: ribosomal RNA, 855 nt
Filed under: uncultured archaeon
Lineage: Archaea
Description: bacterial SSU rRNA
Rfam family: Archaeal small subunit ribosomal RNA
Source: RNAcentral
UUCGAUUAAGCCAUGCGAGUCGAGAGUCUUAGGGACUCGGCGUACCGCUCAGUAACACGUGGGUAACCUGCCCUAUGCUGGGGAAUAACCUCGGGAAACUGAGAAUAAUGCCCCAUAGUCCACAAUGCCUGGAACGGUUUGUGGAUCAAAGCUCCGGCGGCAUAGGAUGGGCCUGCGGCGUAUCAGGUUGUAGGGGGUGUAACGUACCCUCUAGCCAUCAACGCGUACGGGUGUUGGGAGACAUAGCCCGGAGAUGGAUUCUGAGACACGAAUCCAGACCCUACGGGGUGCAGCAGGCGCGAAAACUUGGCAAUGCGAGAAAUCGUGACCAGGGAACUCCAAGUGGCUGGGGUAAGACCCAGUCUUUUCUUGACUCUUCAAAGGUCUUGGAAUAAGGGGUGGGUAAGGACGGUGCCAGCCGCCGCGGUAAUACCGGCGCCUCAAGUGGUAGUCGAUUUUAUUGGGCCUAAAACGUCCGUAGCCUGUUUGGUUCAUUCGUGGGUAAAUCAACCAGCUCAACUGGUUGAAUUCUGCGAGCACGGCCAGACUUGGGACCGGGAGAGGUGUGGGGUACGCCCAGGGUAGGGGUAAAAUCCUGUCAUCCUGAGCGGACCACCUGUUGCGAAGGCGCCACACUAGAACGGAUCCGACGGUCAGGGACGAAGCCUAGGGGCACGAACCGGAUUAGAUACCCGGGUAGUCCUAGGUGUAAACGCUGUGGACUUGGUGUUGGGGACUCUCCGAGAAUCCUCAGUGCCGAAGCGAAGGUGAUAAGUCCACUGCCUGGGGAGUACGGUCGCAAGGCUGAAACUUAAAGGAAUUGGCGGGGGAGCACCGCAACCUGAGGAUUGUGCG